GCUUUACUGUAACUUGGAAUUGAGUUUGGGCUCUUCUUGCGCAGUAUAGGUGGGAGGCUAAGAAAAUAUGCUUGCGGGCAUAUUUGAGCCAUCAUUGAGAUACCACUCUGGAAGGGUUGGAACUCUAACUUUGAGCCGUAAGCCGGCCAAAAGACAGUUUCUGGUGGCAGUUUGACUGGGGCGGUCGCCUCCUAAAAAGUAACGGAGGCGCGCAAAGGUUCCCUCAGGACUGGUUGGAAAUCAGUCCGUAGAGUGUAAAGGCACAAGGGAGCUUGAACUGCGAGACUACAACGUCGAGCAGAGACGAAAGUCGGCCUUAGUGAUCCGACGGUCCAUGAGUGGAAGGGCCGUCGCUCAACGGAUAAAAGUUA
This 371-nucleotide ribosomal RNA is filed under the name uncultured alga. RNAcentral's name for it is "bacterial LSU rRNA". It matches the Rfam family "Bacterial large subunit ribosomal RNA", at positions 2098 to 2465 of the family's 2925-position model. The record is from RNAcentral.